This 496-nucleotide ribosomal RNA is filed under the name uncultured bacterium. Its description in RNAcentral is "partial 16S ribosomal RNA". It matches the Rfam family "Bacterial small subunit ribosomal RNA", at positions 28 to 507 of the family's 1533-position model. The record is from RNAcentral.
GAUGAACGCUGGCGGCGUGCCUAUACAUGCAAGUCGAGCGAACAGACGAGGAGCUUGCUCCUCUGACGUUAGCGGCGGACGGGGGAGUAACACGUGGAUAACCUACCUAUAAGACUGGGAUAACUUCGGGAAACCGGAGCUAAUACCGGAUAACAUGUUGAACCGCAUGGUUCAACAGUGAAAGACGGUCUUGCUGUCACUUAUAGAUUGAUCCGCGCCGCAUUAGCUAGUUGGUAAGGUAACGGCUUACCAAGGCAACGAUGCGUAGCCGACCUGAGAGGGUGAUCGGCCACACUGGAACUGAGACACGGUCCAGACUCCUACGGGAGGCAGCAGUAGGGAAUCUUCCGCAAUGGGCGAAAUCCUGACGGAGCAACGCCGCGUGAGCGAAGAAGGUCUUCGGAUCGUAAAACUCUGUUAUUAGGGAAGAACAAAUGUGUAAGUAACUAUGCACGUCUUGACGGUACCUAAUCAGAAAGCCACGGCUAACUACGUG